Molecule: non-coding RNA, 666 nt
Organism: Styela clava
Lineage: Eukaryota; Metazoa; Chordata; Ascidiacea; Stolidobranchia; Styelidae
Source: RefSeq, a predicted model, not a curated record
GGAAAGCUUAGUAGAUUGUUUGGAUGCACUACGAGUUAGGCAGUCUAUAUCAAGCGCGGACUGUGGCGUGGUUUACAAUUCGAAAUGUUUUCGAGCGAUCGUUUAUGACAGGAACAACGUCACAUUGAGCGUCGCUGAAUCUAUCUGCGAAAACAAACUGGCUAACAUUUAUGACGUAACACACUACAAACAGCUUCGAGAUUACUUACGAAUAAUGAUUCCUGAUGGAAGGACAUCAAUUUAUGUUCGUACGGGAAUGACUUACAAGAACGGCCAGCUAUAUUCAACGACGGGCCAAGCUAUAUCUUUGCCGACUGAGGUUUGGUAUCCGAAUUAUCCGUCUUCCGUUGCAUCGUGCACAACUGUUGUUGUUUUUUUCAGGCAAAACCCGGAAGACAAUAAUCAAGGAAUUUAUAAUAUUCCUCCUUCCUAUGUAUAUCACGGAGUAAUAUGUGAAAAUGAAUUAUAACUCUGUUUAUCGAAUGAUUGAUAAACAAAAAACUGUGAAAAUGAAUUUAAAAGUGAUUUAUGUAACUUAACUUACACUUCAACUAUUUCCAGGACACGUAGUUGAACAAGCAUUGAAUCUUGCCGUCUUAUCUUGUUUAUUUUAAUAAAACUGUAUUUUGUUAGUUAGAUUUGUCCGAACAAUUUAUUUUUUUAUUU